Molecule: long non-coding RNA, 373 nt
Filed under: Phoenix dactylifera (date palm)
Lineage: Eukaryota; Viridiplantae; Streptophyta; Magnoliopsida; Arecales; Arecaceae
Description: long non-coding RNA (PDAC_LNC020402)
Source: RNAcentral
AGUCUUUUACUGUUUCAUAUUCCUUAAAUAAUAAUAAAUAUUUCGAUUCUUUACUAAUUCAGUCCAUAUAAUCAGAAGUGGAAGAUCAUCAAUAAAUGUAAGAAAUAUUACAUAUUUCUCUGUUUUCACAUGAAGAGGUUCACAAAUAUCGGAUUGAACAAGAUCUAGCUAAUCAUUUACUCUAAGCCCUUAAAGAAAAGGAGGUCUGAUGAUUUUUCUCAAUAACAAUGUUCAUGUGUUUUAAAAUUCAGCUUUCUAUAUAAUCUAUAUGAUAUUGAACCUUUACAAGGCAACAUUUUCUAUUUAUCCUACCAGUUUUCCAAGCCUAAUACACCACUCUAAGAACCAAAAAUCCUAGCAGAAUCAGUGUAAG